RNAcentral lists this ribosomal RNA (254 nucleotides) under uncultured bacterium. Its description in RNAcentral is "partial 16S ribosomal RNA". It matches the Rfam family "Bacterial small subunit ribosomal RNA", at positions 524 to 776 of the family's 1533-position model. The record is from RNAcentral.
GACGGGGGGGGGCAAGUGUUCUUCGGAAUCAUUGGGUUUAAAGGGUCCGUAGGCGGUUUAAUAAGUCAGUGGUGAAAGCCCAUCGCUCAACGGUGGAACGGCCAUUGAUACUGUUAAACUUGAAUUAUUAGGAAGUAACUAGAAUAUGUAGUGUAGCGGUGAAAUGCUUAGAGAUUACAUGGAAUACCAAUUGCGAAGGCAGGUUACUACUAAUGGAUUGACGCUGAUGGACGAAAGCGUGGGUAGCGAACAGG